This 948-nucleotide ribosomal RNA is filed under the name Halomonas sp. RNAcentral describes it as "bacterial SSU rRNA". It matches the Rfam family "Bacterial small subunit ribosomal RNA", at positions 68 to 1013 of the family's 1533-position model. Lineage: Bacteria; Pseudomonadati; Pseudomonadota; Gammaproteobacteria; Oceanospirillales; Halomonadaceae. The record is from RNAcentral.
GGUAACAGGGGUAGCUUGCUACCCGCUGACGAGCGGCGGACGGGUGAGUAAUGCAUAGGAAUCUGCCCGAUAGUGGCGGAUAACCUGCGGAUACCCAGGCUAAUACCGCAUACGUCCUACGGGAGAAAGCGGGCUCCGGCUCCCGCUAUUGGAUGAGCCUAUGUCGGAUUAGCUAGUUGGUGAGGUAAUGGCUCACCAAGGCAACGAUCCGUAGCUGGUCUGAGAGGAUGAUCAGCCACAUCGGGACUGAGACACGGCCCGAACUCCUACGGGAGGCAGCAGUGGGGAAUAUUGGACAAUGGGCGAAAGCCUGAUCCAGCCAUGCCGCGUGUGUGAAGAAGGCCCUCGGGUUGUAUAGCACUAUCAGCGAGGAAGAACGCCUAGUGGUUAAUACCCAUUAGGAUAGACAUCACUCGCAGAAGAAGCACCGGCUAACUCCGUGCCAGCAGCCGCGGUAAUACGGAGGGUGCAAGCGUUAAUCGGAAUUACUGGGCGUAAAGCGCGCGUAGGUGGCUUGAUAAGCCGGUUGUGAAAGCCGCGCGCUCAACCUGCGAACGGCAUCCGGAACUGUCAAGCUAGAGUGCAGGAGAGGAAGGUAGAAUUCCCGGUGUAGCGGUGAAAUGCGUAGAGAUCGGGAGGAAUACCAGUGGCGAAGGCGGCCUUCUGGACUGACACUGACACUGAGGUGCGAAAGCGUGGGUAGCAAACAGGAUUAGAUACCCUGGUAGUCCACGCCGUAAACGAUGUCGACCAGCCGUUGGGUGCCUAGCGCACUAUGUGGCGAAGUUAACGCGAUAAGUCGACCGCCUGGGGAGUACGGCCGCAAGGUUAUAACUCAAAUGAAUUGACGGGGGCCCGCACAAGCGGUGGAGCAUGUGGUAUAAUUCGAUGCAACGCGAUGAACCUUACCUACUCUUGACAUCCUGCGUACUUGUGAGAGAUCACUUG